Molecule: ribosomal RNA, 501 nt
Filed under: uncultured bacterium
Lineage: Bacteria
Description: partial 16S ribosomal RNA
Rfam family: Bacterial small subunit ribosomal RNA
Source: RNAcentral
AUUGAACGCUGGCGGCAGGCUUAACACAUGCAAGUCGAGCGGGGGAAGGUAGCUUGCUACCGGACCUAGCGGCGGACGGGUGAGUAAUGCUUAGGAAUCUGCCUAUUAGUAGGGGACAACAUCUCGAAAGGGAUGCUAAUACCGCAUACGUCCUACGAGAGAAAGCAGGGGAUCUUCGGACCUUGCGCUAAUAGAUGAGCCUAAGUCGGAUUAGCGAGUUGGUGGGGUAAAGGCCUACCAAGGCGACGAUCUGUAGCGGGUCUGAGAGGAUGAUCCGCCACACUGGGACUGAGACACGGCCCAGACUCCUACGGGAGGCAGCAGUGGGGAAUAUUGGACAAUGGGGGGAACCCUGAUCCAGCCAUGCCGCGUGUGUGAAGAAGGCCUUAUGGUUGUAAAGCACUUUAAGCGAGGAGGAGGCUACUUUAGUUAAUACCUGGAGAUAGUGGACGUUACUCGCAGAAUAAGCACCGGCUAACUCUGUGCCAGCCGCCGCUGUAA